This is a ribosomal RNA of Bison bison bison, 92 nucleotides long. The record is from Ensembl. NCBI's taxonomy places the organism in Eukaryota, Metazoa, Chordata, Mammalia, Artiodactyla, Bovidae.
GUCUAUGGCCUUACCACCCUGAAUCUGUUGGAUCUCAUCUGAUCUUGGAAGCUAAGCAGGGCCAGACCUGGAUGGGAAACAGGCAACCCACC